Molecule: non-coding RNA, 84 nt
Filed under: Enterocloster aldenensis
Lineage: Bacteria; Bacillati; Bacillota; Clostridia; Lachnospirales; Lachnospiraceae
Description: ZMP/ZTP riboswitch
Rfam family: ZMP/ZTP riboswitch aptamer (pfl RNA motif)
About the family: Previously known as pfl RNA. ZMP is also known as AICAR.
Source: RNAcentral
GGGCGUGUGACUGGCGGAUAGUGGAUGAACCACAGGGAGCACGCGGACCGUAUUACGGAAGAUUUGGCCGACCGCCUGGGCACG